AGCGUACACGGUGGAUGCCCUGGCAGUCAGAGGCGAUGAAGGGCGUGCUAAUCUGCGAUAAGCGCCGGUAAGGUGAUAUGAACCGUUAUAACCGGCGAUACCCGAAUGGGGAAACCCAGUGUGAUUCGUCACACUAUCAUUAACUGAAUCCAUAGGUUAAUGAGGCGAACCGGGGGAACUGAAACAUCUAAGUACCCCGAGGAAAAGAAAUCAACCGAGAUUCCCCCAGUAGCGGCGAGCGAACGGGGAGGAGCCCAGAGCCUGAAUCAGCAUGUGUGUUAGUGGAAGCGUCUGGAAAGGCGCGCGAUACAGGGUGACAGCCCCGUACACAAAAGCGCAUGUGCUGUGAGCUCGAUGAGUAGGGCGGGACACGUGGUAUCCUGUCUGAAUAUGGGGGGACCAUCCUCCAAGGCUAAAUACUCCUGACUGACCGAUAGUGAACCAGUACCGUGAGGGAAAGGCGAAAAGAACCCCGGCGAGGGGAGUGAAAAAGAACCUGAAACCGUGUACGUACAAGCAGUGGGAGCACAGGUUUACCUGUGUGACUGCGUACCUUUUGUAUAAUGGGUCAGCGACUUAUAUUCUGUAGCAAGGUUAACCGAAUAGGGGAGCCGGAGGGAAACCGAGUCUUAAUUGGGCGUUAAGUUGCAGGGUAUAGACCCGAAACCCGGUGAUCUAGCCAUGGGCAGGUUGAAGGUUGGGUAACACUAACUGGAGGACCGAACCGACUAAUGUUGAAAAAUUAGCGGAUGACCUGUGGCUGGGGGUGAAAGGCCAAUCAAACCGGGAGAUAGCUGGUUCUCCCCGAAAGCUAUUUAGGUAGCGCCUCGUGAAUUCAUCUCCGGGGGUAGAGCACUGUUUCGGCUAGGGGGCCAUCCCGGCUUACCAACCCGAUGCAAACUGCGAAUACCGGAGAAUGUUAUCACGGGAGACACACGGCGGGUGCUAACGUCCGUCGUGAAGAGGGAAACAACCCAGACCGCCAGCUAAGGUCCCAAAGUCAUGGUUAAGUGGGAAACGAUGUGGGAAGGCCCAGACAGCCAGGAUGUUGGCUUAGAAGCAGCCAUCAUUUAAAGAAAGCGUAAUAGCUCACUGGUCGAGUCGGCCUGCGCGGAAGAUGUAACGGGGCUAAACCAUGCACCGAAGCUGCGGCAGCGACGCUUAUGCGUUGUUGGGUAGGGGAGCGUUCUGUAAGCCUGUGAAGGUGGCCUGUGAGGGUUGCUGGAGGUAUCAGAAGUGCGAAUGCUGACAUAAGUAACGAUAAAGCGGGUGAAAAGCCCGCUCGCCGGAAGACCAAGGGUUCCUGUCCAACGUUAAUCGGGGCAGGGUGAGUCGACCCCUAAGGCGAGGCCGAAAGGCGUAGUCGAUGGGAAACGGGUUAAUAUUCCCGUACUUGGUGUUACUGCGAAGGGGGGACGGAGAAGGCUAUGUUGGCCGGGCGACGGUUGUCCCGGUUUAAGCGUGUAGGUGUGUGUUCCAGGUAAAUCCGGUUCACUUUAACACUGAGGCGUGAUGACGAGGCACUACGGUGCUGAAGUAACAAAUGCCCUGCUUCCAGGAAAAGCCUCUAAGCAUCAGGUAACAUCAAAUCGUACCCCAAACCGACACAGGUGGUCAGGUAGAGAAUACCAAGGCGCUUGAGAGAACUCGGGUGAAGGAACUAGGCAAAAUGGUGCCGUAACUUCGGGAGAAGGCACGCUGACACGUAGGUGAAGUGAUUUACUCACGGAGCUGAAGUCAGUCGAAGAUACCAGCUGGCUGCAACUGUUUAUUAAAAACACAGCACUGUGCAAACACGAAAGUGGACGUAUACGGUGUGACGCCUGCCCGGUGCCGGAAGGUUAAUUGAUGGGGUCAGCGCAAGCGAAGCUCCUGAUCGAAGCCCCGGUAAACGGCGGCCGUAACUAUAACGGUCCUAAGGUAGCGAAAUUCCUUGUCGGGUAAGUUCCGACCUGCACGAAUGGCGUAAUGAUGGCCAGGCUGUCUCCACCCGAGACUCAGUGAAAUUGAACUCGCUGUGAAGAUGCAGUGUACCCGCGGCAAGACGGAAAGACCCCGUGAACCUUUACUAUAGCUUGACACUGAACAUUGAGCCUUGAUGUGUAGGAUAGGUGGGAGGCUUUGAAGUGUGGACGCCAGUCUGCAUGGAGCCGACCUUGAAAUACCACCCUUUAAUGUUUGAUGUUCUAACGUGGACCCGUUACCCGGGUUGCGGACAGUGUCUGGUGGGUAGUUUGACUGGGGCGGUCUCCUCCUAAAGAGUAACGGAGGAGCACGAAGGUUGGCUAAUCCUGGUCGGACAUCAGGAGGUUAGUGCAAUGGCAUAAGCCAGCUUGACUGCGAGCGUGACGGCGCGAGCAGGUGCGAAAGCAGGUCAUAGUGAUCCGGUGGUUCUGAAUGGAAGGGCCAUCGCUCAACGGAUAAAAGGUACUCCGGGGAUAACAGGCUGAUACCGCCCAAGAGUUCAUAUCGACGGCGGUGUUUGGCACCUCGAUGUCGGCUCAUCACAUCCUGGGGCUGAAGUAGGUCCCAAGGGUAUGGCUGUUCGCCAUUUAAAGUGGUACGCGAGCUGGGUUUAGAACGUCGUGAGACAGUUCGGUCCCUAUCUGCCGUGGGCGCUGGAGAACUGAGGGGGGCUGCUCCUAGUACGAGAGGACCGGAGUGGACGCAUCACUGGUGUUCGGGUUGUCAUGCCAAUGGCACUGCCCGGUAGCUAAAUGCGGAAGAGAUAAGUGCUGAAAGCAUCUAAGCACGAAACUUGCCCCGAGAUGAGUUCU
This 2777-nucleotide ribosomal RNA is filed under the name Salmonella enterica. Its description in RNAcentral is "bacterial LSU rRNA". It matches the Rfam family "Bacterial large subunit ribosomal RNA". RNAcentral also lists the same sequence under 1 other name. The record is from RNAcentral. Lineage: Bacteria; Pseudomonadati; Pseudomonadota; Gammaproteobacteria; Enterobacterales; Enterobacteriaceae.